This is a non-coding RNA of Cherax quadricarinatus, 998 nucleotides long. The record is from RefSeq and is a predicted model, not a curated record. NCBI's taxonomy places the organism in Eukaryota, Metazoa, Arthropoda, Malacostraca, Decapoda, Parastacidae.
AGUAACUGGCAACAUCAGGUUAGCUGUGAGAAGGAGCUGCUCACACCAUAUGAAGUCAGUGCCGACUGGAAGUCUGAAGAGAGGGGGGUGUGUCACUUUGUCUGACAGCUGACUACCCUUGGGACGUUACUUUUUGCCUUUCAUUGUAUACAUUUUUGGUACACAAUGCCUGCAAAGAAGAAACAGUUUGCCAAGAACAUUAGCAGCAAGAGGAAAAGGCACAUAGAAGCAAUGAUAAGGUCUAUACAAGCUGCUGUGGUUGGUGAUGCCGCCACGAUGCUAGUACCACCACCCUCCUCUCAAGACCUGUCCUUGUUCACUGCUACUGAACUAUUGGAUAUUUCACGUUCAGAAACAAGGAAGACAAAAUAUAGGAGCCCCGCAAAUAUGCCCACCUCCACCACGGCUGCUACUACCACAACUACUACCACCACGGCUGCUACUACCACAACUACUACCUCCACUGCUGCUACUACCUCCACUGCUGCUACUACCACAACUACUACCUCCACUGCUACUACUACCACAACUACUACAGCGUUGUAUUAAAGGCAGAACGCAAAACUGUAAUGAAAGUCUGCAUCACCGCAUAUGGUGUUACUGCAAUAAAGCCAAAUAUCAAACCAAGAGGCAUGCUGAUUUCGCAGUCAGCCAUGCUGUUGCUGACUACAAUAGUGGAUAUGUGAGGAGCUGUCUGGACACAGCACUGGGCUACAAACGUUCAGCAGUGACUCAAAAACAACUUGAAUUAAUGGAGAAGAACAUGAAGGAACAACGGAAGCAAAGAGGAAUGAAGAGGAAAAGGGAGCUGGACACGUCCUACGAGCCUGGAGGACAUUAGAUAAUCAUGUGUCCACCUACAUCCAGUCAUAGAUUGAUUGGGAUGGAUUUUUAUGAUUGGCCGGCCACCAGAGAACUUCAGGACAAAGGGAUCUUCAUGAAACUUCAGGAAUAAUGUCUAUAUAACCAGUUCUACUCUCAAUAAACGUAUAAAGGCA